This 5080-nucleotide long non-coding RNA is filed under the name Homo sapiens (human). RNAcentral's name for it is "non-protein coding lnc-IAH1-3:6". Lineage: Eukaryota; Metazoa; Chordata; Mammalia; Primates; Hominidae. The record is from RNAcentral.
AGUUCUGUAAACAAAUUCUCAACUGCACCAGAAGGCCUGACAGUUAAGAGAACCCAGUGAAGAAACCUUUUGCAGAGAGAGAAAAGAACCCUUUUGAAUGUGAUCAAUCACGCUGAUUUAUUUGGAUGAUUUCUCUUCUGGAUUUCCUUAAACCAGGGAAAACCCAGGGACAGCAAUUGCUAUAAUUGAUGCAAACGAUCCCAGCCACACUCCCUGAUCCUGGUUCUGAAACUCAGAGAUGCAGCUGACCAGACUGAUGUGGCCAGCCUCACUCUGAAGGAUCCUGCAGCAGACAAAUUGCUGGAAUGUGUUCAGACGGAAUCCAGCUGCUACAACCGUCACACAAACUUCCUGAAAUAGAGGACAAAAGAGACAGAGGUCUUGCUAUGUUGCCCAGGCUGGUCUCAAGCUCCUGGCCUCAAGCGAUUCUCCUUCCUCAGCCUCCAAAAGUGCUGGGAUUACAGGUGCAACAGUGACCCGUGACGCAGUAGGGAGGGCUGUUUUCCAUGCCCAGUGAGGCCUGCUCAGCUCCCAUUAGGCCUUUAUGGAUGGCCUGCCUCCCAGCUGGUACCUGGUCCCGUCACAGUCCCAGGACUCUAGACCUCGAGGCAGCCAGGUGGGUGCUACAGAUGGUGACCUCUCGGUGGCACAGCCUGGCGCUGCAGCAGAAUGCAGGGUUGGGGGCGGGGUGAAGAAUGGAGUCUGGAUUGUGCCAAAACAGGAGUUUCUAUGUCUGGUCCUGCCACCGACUGCACCUGCAUUGCUGCGUGACCUUGACAGCUACUCCUUCCACACCUGAACGUCCUCAUCUGGAAACUGGACUUGCCUCCUAGGGUUCCUGCAAAUAUAAAAUGAGCUAAUGCCUUUGAGGUGUUUGCUAUUGUCCUGGCACUUGGCAAACACAUGAUAAAUAUUAGCAAUCACUUGCGAGGGGGUGUGGGGUUCGGGGGAGCUUUGCCCCUCCUCCCCCUCUCCAGGGCUGAGCAGCAGUGAAGAGCUUUCUGCAUAAGAGAGAGCAAGAGAGAUAAAUAAACCCACAUCUUCCUCUGAAAGAGGCUCCUGCUGGCUGGCUGCUCACCUGACCAAGUCUCCCUCCCAGCCUGUCUUCACUCUUUGGUCCACCCUCAAGGGAACCAGGUCACACAGCCUCAGCACUUCCUGCAUGCCAGUCUCUAGCUGGUGCCUUCCACUGGCUGAACCCCAUAAGAAACUAGAGGGCGGCCGGGUGCCGUGGUUCAUUCCUGUAAUCCCAGCGCUUUGGGAGGCCAAGAGUUCAAGUCCAGCCUGGGCAACAUGGUGAAACUCUGUCUCUACAAAAAAUACAAAAAUUAGCAGGGUGUGCUGGUGCUGAGCUUGGCAGGUGGAGGUUGCAGUGAGCUGAGAUGGUGCCACUGCACUCCAGCCUGGGCAACAGAGCGAGACUCCGCCUCAAAAAAAAGGAAAAGAAAAAGAAAAAAAAAAAAAAGAAAGAAACCAGGGCCAGGCACGGUGGCUCACACCUGUAAUCCCAGCACUUUGGGAGGCCCAGGUGGGUGGAUCAUCUGAGGUCAGGAGUUCGAGACCAGCCUGGCCAACAUGGUGAAACCCCAUCUCUACUAAAAAUACAAAAAGUAACUGGGCAUGGUGGUGCGCACCUGUAGUCCCAAUUACUCGGGAAGCUGAGGCAGGUGAAUCACUUGAACCUGGGAGAUGGAGGUUGCAGUGAGUUGAGAUCACACCACUGCACUCCAGCCCAGGAGAGAGAGUGAGACUCCAUCUCAAAAAAAAAAAAAAGAAAGAAAGAAAGAAAGAAACUAGAGGGCAAGGGAUGCAUUGAUGUAGCUGGUAUGCCCCAGCCUCUCUGGGCGUAGUGCAGGGUGAAGAAGGGUGGGGACAGCACUGGAGGGGCAUAGCACCUGUCCUCUGAUCCAGAUGACAGAGAAAGAAGUCACAGUCUAAGGGUCAGAAAACCUGAGCCCUACCCCCAGGGUUUCCCCUGACUGAUUGCGUGAAUGUGGGCAAGCCCCUGGUCUGCUCUGAGCCUUCGUUUUCCCAUCUAGAAAAUGACAAAGUUGGAGCAGUGACAUCCAAGUUCCCUCCAAACCUAACACACUGUCUUUUACUGACACUGCUGCAGAUGAAGUAACAAGGCAAAACUAUGUUUGCCAUUAGCUCUCAGGGAAAUGCAAAUGAAACCUACAAUGAGACACCACUUCACACCCACUAGGAUGCAUCAAAAGACAGCUACAUAUCAAAAAGACAGAUCAUAAUGUGUUGAUGAGGAUGUGGAGGCACUGGAGCCCUUGUGUGCUGCUGGUGAGAAUGUUAACUGGGGCAGACACUUAACAGUGGCUGGAAAAUUGUCUAGCAGUUCCUCAAAAGGCUAAACAGAGUUACCACAUGACCCUGCCAUUCCACCGCUGCAUAUAUUUCCAAGAGAAAUGAAAACAUAUGUACACACAAAAACUUGCACACAAAUGCUCAUAGCAGCAUCCAUAAUGCAUUCCAGAUAAACAAGAUCGACAGGAUGGAAUGCUAUUAGACAACAAAGGAAAUAAAAUGCAACAUGCAUAAACCUUGAAGACAUUAUGCUACACGAAAAAAGUCAGUGGGCAAAGGGCUAAUAUCCAGAAUCUACAAAUAAACAAAUGUACAAGAAAAAAAUCAAACAACCCCAUCAAAAAGUGGGCAAAGGAUAUGGGCAGACACUUCUCAAAAGAAGACAUUUAUGCAGCCAACAGACACAUGAAAAAAUGCUCAUCAUCACUGGCCAUCAGAGAGGUGCAAGUCAAAACCACAAUGAGAUACCAUCUCACACCAGUUAGAAUGGCAAACAUUAAAAAGUCAGGAAACAACAGGUGCUGGAGAGGAUGUGGAGAAAUAGGAACACUUUUACACUGUUGGUGGGACUGUAAACUAGUUCAACCAUUGUGGAAGACAGUGUGGCGAUUCCUCAAGGAUCUAGAACUAGAAAUACCAUUUGACCCAGCCAUCCCAUUACUGGGUACAUACCCAGAGGAUUAUAAAUCAUGCUGCUAUAAAGACACAUACACUUGUAUGUUUAUUGCGGCACUAUUCACAAUAGCGAAGACUUGGAACCAAACCAAAUGUCCAUCAAUGAUAGACUGGAUUAAGAAAAUGUGUCUCAUAUACACCAUGGAACACUAUGCAGCCAUAAAAAGGGGUGAGUUCAUGUUCUUUGUAGGGACAUGGAUGAAGCUGGAAAUCAUCAUCUUGACCAAACUGUCGCAAGGACAGAAAACCAAACACCGCAUGUUCUCACUCAUAGGUGGGAAUUGAACAAUAAGAACAUUUGGACACAGUGGGGAACAUCACACACCAGGGCCUGUUGUGGGGUCGGGGGAGCGGGGAGGGAUAGCAUUAGGAGAUAUACCUAAUGUAAAUGAUGACUUAAUGGGUGCAGCACACCAACAUGGCACGUGUAUAUAUAUGUAACAAACCUGCACAUUGUGCACAUGUACCCUAGAACUUAAAGUAUAAUCAAAAAAAAAAAAAAGAAAAGAAAAAAGUCAGUAGGAAAAGGCCACACAUUGUAUGUGUGACCUGCCUACUUCCCUCUCCCUGAUGCUUCCUCUCUGGUCAGUUCCUCUCUUUGGGUUCUGGUCAUUAUUUUUUUCCCUUUGUCCCUCAGGACUAGGGGUGGUAACUGCUCCUUCUGUUUCUUACCCCAGGGAACUGCAUCCAUUACUGAUUGCCAUAAACAUUUUCCUCCGCUUCGUGAAUAGUUCUUGAUUAAACUUUCCUCCUGUUUCCCAACUUGUGCAUCUGUAUCUUGAUGCAGUGACUUACUCUCCAUCCAUCCAUCCAUCCAUCCAUUCAUCCAUCCUUCCAUCAUCCAUCCACCCAUCCACCCAUCCACCCAUCCACCUAUUCAUCCAUCCACUCAUCCAUCUAACCAUCCAUCCAUCCAUCCAUCCAUCCAUCCAUCCAUCCAUUCAUCCAUCCAUCCAUCCACCUAUCCACCUAUUCAUCCAUCCACUCAUCCAUCUAUCCAUCCAUUCAUCCAUCCAUCCACCCAUCCACCUAUUCAUCCAUCUACUCAUCCAUCUAUCCAUCCAUCUAUCCAACCUCACACCAUGCAUACCCCCAUCCAUCCAUCCACCCAAUCACCCAUCCACCUAUUCAUCCAUUCACUCAUCGACCUAUCUAUCCAUCCAUCCAUCCAUCCUUCCACCCUCCAACUAGUGCCCCAUCCAUCCAUGCACCCAUCCAUUCACUCUUUCAUUCAGGAGCACAGUGCAGAGUUCAUUCUGGAUGCUCAGUAUAUUCAGCAAACACUGAGUCCGUACUGCUCAGCAGGUGGCCAGUGCUAGGCCCUAUGCCAGGAAUAUAGGUAAUUAAACACAGCCUCUGUUCUCCAGAAGUUGGUGAUACAGUCUAGGGAUAAAAAUGAAAUAUACAUAUCUCGUGUCCUGUCUAGUGAGCCAAAAAAAAAAGAAGGAAAAGAAAAGAAAAGAAAAAGCCUUAGCAAUUACUUAGCAAGGUUAGCAAUUACUUAGCAAGAUUUGGAGACUUAGAGGGUACAUUAUGGGUUCUAUUAUUUUUAAGUUUUGAAGCAGUUUGGGAGCGUAUGAUGCUUCACCCUCCACAGGCUCCAAAAACCACCAAGAACUGAGCCUGCUAUGAGCUGUCACUAGGUAGGGACCUAGCCUACUAUUCUUGUAUAUCUGGGGCCCAGCACAUAGUAGGUGCUCUGGGAAGUCAGCAGAAUUUAAUGAACUCUGACUUGAAGACAAGGCUCUACAAAAACAGAGAUGUAGGGAACAGUCUGUAUUCAAAAUGUUAUAGUAACAAGCAGUCAGCCAGACUGCAUGGUGGAAAGACUGCUCCGCCUCUCUCUCUUCUCCAUCUCUAUGGUGACUGUUAACGGAACUGGUCAAGGUCGAACAUGGUCAACCAAGCAGCAAUAUCCCAGGGACUCCGGCAGCUGCAGCUUAGGUUUAUACCACUGCUUGGAGGUCUUCUGUAUUUCAGAUUAUGAAUAUUUGUGCAUUAUAUGAGAGUCUUUUUUGUUAUUGCACAAAUAUGAUAAAGUCAUUAAAUACAUUUUUAAGAAAGAAAAAUAAACCAUCCCUUUGCC